UGCCGCGUGCAGGAAGACUGCCCUAUGGGUUGUAAACUGCUUUUUUACGGGAAGAAUAAGGAUCACGUGUGAUCUGAUGACGGUACCGUAGGAAUAAGCACCGGCUAACUCCGUGCCAGCAGCCGCGGUAAUACGGAGGGUGCAAGCGUUAUCCGGAAUCAUUGGGUUUAAAGGGUCCGUAGGUGGAUUAAUAAGUCAGUGGUGAAAGUCUUCCGCUCAACGGGAGAACUGCCAUUGAUACUGUUAAUCUUGAAUUGUUAUGAAGUAGCUAGAAUAUGUGGUGUAGCGGUGAAAUGCAUAGAUAUCACAUAGAAUACCGAUUGCGAAGGCAGGCUACUAAUAAUAUAUUGACACUGAUGGACGAAAGCGUGGGGAGCGAACGGGAUUAGAUACCCCGGUAGUCCACGCCGUAAACGAUGGUUACUAGCUGUCCGGCCCAAUUGAGGGCUGGGUGGCCAAGCGAAAGUGAUAAGUAACCCACCUGGGGAGUACGUUCGCAAGAAUGAAACUCAAAGGAAUUGACGGGGGCCCGCACAAGCGGUGGAGCAUGUGGUUUAAUUCGAUGAUACGCGAGGAACCUUACCAGGGCUUAAAUGCAGUCUGACAGAUCUAGAAAUAGAUUUUUCUUCGGACAGAUUGCAAGGUGCUGCAUGGUUGUCGUCAGCUCGUGCCGUGAGGUGUCAGGUUAAGUCCUAUAACGAGCGCAACCCCUGUGGUUAGUUGCCAGCGAGUCAAGUCGGGAACUCUAGCCAGACUGCCGGUGCAAACCGUGAGGAAGGU
This 780-nucleotide ribosomal RNA is filed under the name Leeuwenhoekiella sp. R106. RNAcentral describes it as "bacterial SSU rRNA". It matches the Rfam family "Bacterial small subunit ribosomal RNA", at positions 395 to 1174 of the family's 1533-position model. Lineage: Bacteria; Pseudomonadati; Bacteroidota; Flavobacteriia; Flavobacteriales; Flavobacteriaceae. The record is from RNAcentral.